Molecule: long non-coding RNA, 4851 nt
Organism: Corticium candelabrum
Lineage: Eukaryota; Metazoa; Porifera; Homoscleromorpha; Homosclerophorida; Plakinidae
Exons: 7
Source: RefSeq, a predicted model, not a curated record
ACAUACUUUUAGUUAUGAUGGACUACCCCUACGAGUGGUGACGGACAACGGUCCACAAUUUACUUCACAUGAGUUUAAGGACUUUAUGUCAGCGAAUGGAAUAAAACAUCAAUUAACUCCUCCUUAUCACCCAGCCUCAAAUGGACAGGUUGAGAGAAUGGUGCAAGAGUUUAAGAAGUCUCUAAAAACAAAGCCAACUGGUAGGUCAGUGAGUCACCAGGUAUCAAUCUUUCUAUUGCACUACAGGACAACACCAAACAGCACAACCGGCAAGAUACCAGCCGAAUUGAUGUUGAAGCGGAGUCCGAGAACAAGACUAUCAAUAUUACAUCCUGAAGCUGACAGUGAGUUGAGAGAGGCUCAGAGUCAACAAUAUGGCACUGCAUCUGGUCGGGUUCGACAGCUACAGCCAGGAAUGACAGUCAGUGUUACAAAUCCAAGACAAGAUAGCAGAGGGAAAUGGCUAUGUGGGGUCAUUAUCCAACGUUUAGGGCCUGCAACCUAUCUUGUAAGUGUUGAAGGAGGACCAAGGUAUGCCCAUAUUGACCAGUUGAGAGAGCGUGAUGGAAGAACCUUUUCAGAGUACACAUGGGAACCUACAGGAGAUAUAUCUGUACCCACAAUGAACCAAGACAAUGGCAACAGCAAGCAAAAGGACAAGAUCAAUCUAGUACUACAAGUACAUCCACAAGCACAUCAUCAGGAUCCUCUCAAGAUAAUAACAGUGCAAAAAAAAAACGAGAAAACUUCACUGAGACUACACCAAUGUCCCAGCAGUCUCACCAGAUACCACCGUCUACAGCAGUAACUGAAGAGAGACAAACAGAAAACCACCUGCACAGUACAAUCCUAUAGUAUACUAAUGAGAUUAGCUACGUAUAUGUUGUGAGACAAUACGUCUUUAGUUUGUCUGUGUUUAGUCCUCAUAGUCUGCGUUCAGUGUUCCAUGUCUGAAUCAGUGCGUAUGUGUCAUAUAAGGGUAUAGACACUACAGAUAACGUAAAAAUAUUUUGAGCCUUCCCUCUUGUGGCAUGGUAUUGAUGGUAUAAAUAAGCACAUCUCACUAGAACAAGUCAUCCUUGCAAGUAAGAGUAUCAGAAUGAGUCGUCAGAAGCGAUCAAAGCCAAAUAUGUGGCAAGUGGACCAAGAUGACCUGUUUGACUCAUGGGAUAACACAAAUAGAAACGCUGCUGGCCGUGUUGAAAGUUCUUGUCACCCUGUGAAGACGUUACAGUGAAUCAACUGUGGUUUGAGAAAUUUCAAUCACCUGACAUUGAUGAUGAAGCUGCAUAUCAAACUGGAAUACAGCAGUCAAUGAUGAGCUGCACAUCACAAAUACAGCAUUCAGAUGAAACACACUCCCAUCAUCAUGACUUGGAAGAGUUAGACAGUGUUUUUACUGCUUCAAGCACAGAGUCUGAUUUAGAAUCUUUGCCAUCACUCUCAGCAGAAAUACCAUCACCCUCAGCAGAACAAACAGAAGAAAACAACUCUACCAAUAUCGCCACACCAAAUAGAGAGUCUACAAGAGAUGUCCAUGGCUCUCCUUUUUAUAGCAACAACAGAAGUUGGCCUGUAUGGAGCUGGCAUGGCGGUACAUCUUCUACAGCUGAAGAUGCCUUAGCAAGAAUCCUCUCUGCUCCAGCUCAACAGUUGUGUUUCUACACCCAAAUGUGUUGAACAUAACUGUGCUUUCCUCGUUGAUAUGACAUCACUUUCCCACCCAAACAACAUUUUUUGCAGAUGAUCUGGGAGCUUGGAAUUGUCAAGGAUGCCCUUCACUCUUUUAUCAAGUGAAACACAACCUUCAAGGAGAAGUGCGAAUUCGUCCAUGUGGAAAGAAAAAAGAAGGAAUGAUUCCAAAGAAAGCAACACACAAAGUCCACAAAAAAUAUGCUAAGAACAAGUCUUCUGCAGACUUUAGAAGAAUUAUCUACACUGUGUUUUCUAUUGACAACACAGGGUUUGAAACACAGCUUGGUAUCUCCAUGAUAUCAUACUGCUUUCUCCAUGGAGAACACAAGCUGAAUGUACAAAAGCAUGGAUAUCGGAAGAUUAGAAACCAGCCGUAUGUCCACACUGAGACAAGCACCCUAACAGACAUUCAAACAACUUCACAAACAAUACAGCCCAAGCAAGUAGCCUCACACAUUUACCAGCAGAGAGGUGGAAUCAGCACCGAAUCAGUUAGUCAACUGACAAGAUCGCAACAGCAAGUCAAGGACAGCAGACGAUACAUAUCUGGAGUUGGACGCACUGCCAUAGCUGUCAACAAGGAUCUGCUCCUUGACGUUAUGAUGAUGGAAGAGUCAGCGCAAAGUCCAUCAGACAAAUUUGUCAGGGCAGUAACUGCCUUUCCAGAACCAAUGUGUGUAUUAGCUACUGAACAACAACUUGUAGACAUGGAACGCUUCUGUGUUGACUGUUCACCCAAUUGCAGCAUCUUGGGUGUAGAUCCCACCUUCAAUUGUGGGAAAUUCUAUGUAACAGUUUCGACGUACAAUCACUUACUGCUGAACAACUCACACUGAAAGAACCCAACGUUCAUUGGAGCACUAUUAAUACAUCAACAAGAGCUUGAAACUUCAUACAGCUUUCUGGGGAACACAUUAAUUAACUGCCGCCCCUCCCUAGCUGGAGUCCAUUCAUUUGGAACAGACGGAAAGACAACCUUGUGAAAGGGCUGAAAAGAACCUUUCAAGAUGGCAUACAUGUCCAAUGCUCUAUUCAUGCAGAACGAAACGUUAAACAAAAGCUUGCAGAAAUGAAAUUAACACCUGUUGCUGCCAAUGAAAUACUAGCAGACGUAUUUGGAAGAAAGCUGUGAGAAUUGCAAGUUUGUGAAGAAGGACUCAUAGACUGUGAAUCGGCGUCAGAUUUUAAUCAAAAGCUGAGCUGUCUCAAAGACAAGUGGAACAGCAUACAGCCCAAUUUUUAUUCAUGGUUCCUGAAGUACAAAGCAAAUAGUAUGAAAGCCACCAUGAUUGCAGCAGUCCGUACACAAGCUGGACUUGGAAAACCACCUACACGUUACAGCACAAACAGAAAUGAAGCAAUGAACAACACCAUCAAGAAAUCACUUAGCUACAAAGAAAAAUAUAUUGCGGAAUUCUGUAAGCACAUGAAAGACCUUAUUAAACAACAAUUUGAAGAAGUAGAAAAGGCCAUUUGAGGAAUUGGUGAAUACACAUUUGCACUUGGCUUUGAGCAUCCGUACUUACAAGAACAAGAGUGGAAUGAUUUAAAUCUUGAGCAAAGGAAAGAACACAUUAAAAAGUAGUGAUUGUCCUCAACAACGAGAUGGUAAUAGCAACAAAGACAAGAGCCAACCGGAAGCCAGCAGUAAGCAAGCCAACAAUCCAACUACAAAUACCACCGGUCUUUCACAAUCUCUAGAGACUAUCAUGAAAGCUUGUCCUGGAGUGCCCAGUGCAACAAUUGCUGGUAUGGUUGACAAGGCCAAGAAACUGCUCCAAGCACAAACAGACGUGACUGCUGUUCCACGUCCAAACAAACGAUCACACUUUGUCAUCAGCAACACCAAACCAGGGAGGCCACAUUUAGUAACAACAGGGAAUAUGUGUGGUCAAUUCUCAUGUGAACUUUCAUGUGGCUCUUGGGCUGCUUACAAAAUAUAUUCUCAUGUGAUUGCUGUAGCAGAAUACAAUGGUGAGCUGUUGAAUAUGUUACAAAACGCUGUUGCAGAAAACAACCACAGGAAACUUGACUGCACUUGCAAUGGCUACCAUGCCUCGUGAUGCAGGCAAGAAACCCAACAAGCGAGAGCAAUACAGACAAAAGCAAGCAGAAGCACCACCUGGACCACUAUACAAAGGCUACACACUACAUUGCCUAGCUCCUCGUCAAGUACAUCAUGGCAGUCUGGGCAUGCAAUGCAUGGUUCUGUUCAAAGUUCAUCUCCCAAUAUGCCUCAAUGCUUUCAAAUGACAGCACCAUCACAAGAUUCAUCGACUACUGUACGUAUCUCAACCAUUUCAACGGACAUCAUCAUCACAAGCUCCAUCAGCUACCACAUCUCAACCUUUUCUAAUAACAGCACAAUCACGAGGUUCAUCAGCUACACUAUCUCAACCUUUUCGAAUGGCAGCACCAUCACAAGGUUCAUCAGCUACUGCAUAUCUACCUUUUCAAAUAACACCAUCACAACUAACUGCAUCUGGAUAUCCAGUUUACGCACAACAACUGUAUGGGCAACCUCAACAAUACAACCCUGGACUUUGGCCAGGACCACCCCUGAUGCACAGCAUAAACCCAAACCCUGUGAGUUUCACACCAAUGACAGCUACAGCAUCUGCUAUAAGUCCACAGGACAUGGUUCCUAAGCCAUUCAAAUUCAAAUUCUUGACUAAUCAAAUCAAGGUCUGUGCAGGUUGCAGACAGGGAUAUCAAAGACGAACAGAUCCACCUUAUAUGACAUUUGCAUUGUGCACGAGGAAAGCAUCUAGAUAGUACAACAUGAUAAGUCUUUCAAAAGAAUCCACCAAUGCACACUACCAUGGCAAUGCAACAUGCAUUAUCAUCAAGCAUCCUGCUUUUCAGCCGAAUUGUAUCGAAAUACCACCAGAUGUUAAGGCACGUCUACUGCCAGUGCACAAGCACUACCUCAGAGAUCACUUUGGAAUUAUCAUCUAACAACAUGUCUAAAGACUAUAUAGUAGUUUAGUUGUUGCAGAGUUGCUACUUUGUUAGAGCAACUUGUUUUGGAAUUAUAGAAAGUGACAUGACAACUAUUUGCAAAGUUGACUUCACACAGCAGUUUUGAGCUAUCUAGAUAAAAGUAUAAACAGGUUGUGUUGUUAAUCAAGAGAAUUCCAAAUAACCUUAAACAAA